UCUCCGUAGGUGAACCUGCGGAGGGAUCAUUACAGGGUUCAUGCCCUCCGGGUAGCUCUCCCACCCAUUGCUAUAACUACUCUCGUUGCUUUGGCGGGCCGCUGGGCCCUGCCCGGCCGCCGGCCCCGGCUGGCGCGUGCCCGCCAGAGACCUCACAAACUCUGAAUGUUAGUGUCGUCCGGGUAACUAUACAAUCGUUAAAACCUUCAACAACGGAUCUCUUGGUUCUG
Molecule: unclassified non-coding RNA, 230 nt
Filed under: plant metagenome
Description: partial contains small subunit ribosomal RNA, internal transcribed spacer 1, and 5.8S ribosomal RNA
Source: RNAcentral